This 75-nucleotide transfer RNA is filed under the name Microbacterium phage Pumpernickel. Its description in RNAcentral is "tRNA-Arg". It matches the Rfam family "tRNA". From Rfam's summary of the family: Transfer RNA (tRNA) molecules are approximately 80 nucleotides in length. Their secondary structure includes four short double-helical elements and three loops (D, anti-codon, and T loops). The record is from RNAcentral. Lineage: Duplodnaviria; Heunggongvirae; Uroviricota; Caudoviricetes.
GCCCUCCUAGCUCAAUGGACAGAGCGCUGGCUUCCGGUGCCAGAGGUUGCGAGUUCGAUCCUCGCGGAGGGCACC